GAUGAAGAACGUAGCAAAAUGCGAUAAGUAAUGUGAAUUGCAGAAUUCAGUGAAUCAUCGAAUCUUUGAACGCACAUUGCGCCCGCCAGUAUUCUGGCGGGCAUGCCUGUUCGAGCGUCAUUUCAACCCUCAAGCACAGCUUGGUGUUGGGACUCGCGUUAAUUCGCGUUCCCCAAAUUGAUUGGCGGUCACGUCGAGCUUCCAUAGCGUAGUAGUAAAACCCUCGUUACUGGUAAUCGUCGCGGCCACGCCGUUAAACCCCAACUUCUGAAUGUUGACCUCGGAUCAGGUAGGAAUACCCGCUGAACUUAAGCAUAUCAAUAAGCGGAGUA
Molecule: unclassified non-coding RNA, 332 nt
Filed under: soil metagenome
Description: partial contains 5.8S ribosomal RNA, internal transcribed spacer 2, and large subunit ribosomal RNA
Rfam family: 5.8S ribosomal RNA (bases 1-120)
Source: RNAcentral